RNAcentral lists this ribosomal RNA (253 nucleotides) under uncultured bacterium. Its description in RNAcentral is "partial 16S ribosomal RNA". It matches the Rfam family "Bacterial small subunit ribosomal RNA", at positions 524 to 776 of the family's 1533-position model. The record is from RNAcentral.
GACGUAGGUGGCGAACGUUAUCCGGAUUUAUUGGGCGUAAAGCGCGCGUAGGCGGCUUUGUAAGUUAGAGGUGAAAGCCCGGGGCUCAACCCCGGAACUGCCUUUAAGACUGCAUCGCUUGAAUCCGGGAGAGGUGAGUGGAAUUCCGAGUGUAGAGGUGAAAUUCGUAGAGAUGUGGAGGAACACCGAUGGCGAAGGCAGCCCCCUGGGCUAACACUGACGCUCAGGCACGAAAGCGUGGGGAGCAAACAGG